AUACGGAGGAUCCGAGCGUUAUCCGGAUUUAUUGGGUUUAAAGGGUGCGCAGGCGGCCAUUUAAGUCAGCGGUUAAAUCGUGGGGCUCAACCCCAUUCUGCCGUUGAUACUGGGUGGCUUGAUUGCGGUCGAGGUUGGCGGAAUUCGUUGUGUAGCGGGGAAAUGCAUAGAUAUGACGAAGAACACCGAUUGCGUAGGCAGCUGACCAGACCGCAAAUGACGCUCAUGCACGAAAGUGCGGGGAUCGAACAGGAUUAGAUACCCUGGUAGUCCGCACAGUAAACGAUGAAUACUUGUUUUCGGCGAUAUAAUGUCGGAGGCAAAGCGAAAGCGUUAAGUAUUCCACCUGGGGAGUACGCCGGCAACGGUGAAACUCAAAGGAAUUGGCGGGG
RNAcentral lists this ribosomal RNA (392 nucleotides) under uncultured bacterium. RNAcentral's name for it is "partial 16S ribosomal RNA". It matches the Rfam family "Bacterial small subunit ribosomal RNA", at positions 523 to 918 of the family's 1533-position model. The record is from RNAcentral.